Molecule: ribosomal RNA, 460 nt
Filed under: uncultured bacterium
Lineage: Bacteria
Description: partial 16S ribosomal RNA
Rfam family: Bacterial small subunit ribosomal RNA
Source: RNAcentral
CCUACGGGAGGCAGCAGUGAGGAAUAUUGGUCAAUGGACGAGAGUCUGAACCAGCCAAGUAGCGUGAAGGAUGAAUGUCCUAUGGGUUGUAAACUUCUUUUAUAAAGGAAUAAAACGAGGCACGUGUGCCUUUUUGCAUGUACUUUAUGAAUAAGCAUCGGCUAACUCCGUGCCAGCAGCCGCGGUAAUACGGAGGAUCCGAGCGUUAUCCGGAUUUAUUGGGUUUAAAGGGAGCGUAGAUGGGGUGUUAAGUCAGUUGUGAAAGUUUGCGGCUCAACCGUAAAAUUGCAAUUGAUACUGGCAGUCUGGAGUACGGUUGAGGUAGGCGGAAUUCGUGGUGUAGCGGUGAAAUGCUUAGAUAUCGCGAAGAACCCCGAUUGCGAAGGCAGCUUACUAAACUGUGACUGACAUUGAUGCUCGAAAGUGUGGGUAUCAAACAGGAUUAGAUACCCCUGUAGUC